CACCGAGCAUUACAAACUGUCCAUCUGAUAAGAUCGUCGAGCAUGCCGGUACCGGAGAAUCGGCGACUGUGACCUGGCCUGAGCUGCAGACCUCUGGUUUUUCUGUGACGCCGAAGAUCUUCACUUCUAAAGAGUCGGGGUCUUCGUUUCCAGUCGGUGACACGACUGUUGUUGCUACAGCCUUCGCAAUCCCAGAGACUGCUGUCUGUACAUUCACAGUUGAAGUCACGACUGACAAACCAACUAUUUUGAACUGCCCCGAAAACAUCGAGGGAACCCUCCCGUCUGGACAAACUAAGGUCGCCGUUGGUUGGACGCCUCCUACGGCCACAUUUCCUCUUGGGCAGCUCUUCUUUGCUCCAAAUUUGAAUCCUGGGACCGAGUUUAGUGUUGGGAGUUCAACUGUAGUGUACACAGCAGUUGACGCUCAAGGAAACUCAGCUGUAUGCACCUUUACCGUAACCAUCGCGGCUUAAAACAACAGUACGGGUAACAGGACUUGUUCCAUUAUUCUUGGAGUUUAUUGCAUCAUCAUUAUACAUCAAUCAUCAUCUUCAUCACGUCGACCUGCGCACCAUAUAGGUGUCACGCGCGUAAAACAUUCCCCAUAGAC
Long non-coding RNA from Lytechinus variegatus (green sea urchin), 613 nucleotides. RefSeq lists it as uncharacterized. The transcript has 4 exons. NCBI's taxonomy places the organism in Eukaryota, Metazoa, Echinodermata, Echinoidea, Temnopleuroida, Toxopneustidae. The record is from RefSeq and is a predicted model, not a curated record.